Molecule: long non-coding RNA, 1019 nt
Filed under: Manihot esculenta (cassava)
Lineage: Eukaryota; Viridiplantae; Streptophyta; Magnoliopsida; Malpighiales; Euphorbiaceae
Description: long non-coding RNA (MESC_LNC010268)
Source: RNAcentral
UGGAAAUUAAGCAUGAAAUUGCAUGAAUAUUGAACAACCAAAAGUUAAACAAUGUUUGAACAAGUCUCACAAUCCUUUAAACAACUAAAACUUCAACCAAACUUCAACUAGAUUAAAAGAAUUCAGCUACACAUGGCUGAAUUAAAAACUGAAAAAAUAAAAAGAAAAGCAAGAGAGGAAGAACCCGAAGGCGGUGCGCACGCCUCUCCUUGUGUGGCCGAAUGGUCUUCUCUUCAAGGCUGUGGUGUGGCUGGCCUUAGGUGAGUUUAUAUAGGGUCUUGAGGUGCUGGCUUAGGGUUUCUUGGCUGUCCAUAAAUCUUUAAGGGGCUGUCCAAAAUACCCUUGCCUUCAAGUGUGCACUUACCUUGCCACCCAUGCACAUGUGUGAGGGAGUGGCGUGUGGCUUGCCUUAUAUUGCAAGGAGUGGGGCCUUUGGUCUUUGCUUGCUACCCAAGUGUCUUCAAGGUGCUACCCAAGCUGCCCAAGGAGCCUCUUCACACCAUCCUUGCCGCCCAUGCCAUUUAAGGAAGGUGGAGCCUUCCUUUGCAAUUUGAAAUUUGAAUGUGCAAGGCAUGAGGUGUGGAACAUGUGAUCUUUUGGAUUUGGCUUCCUUAAUAAGCUGAAUCUUGAAAUUUAAAAUUUGAAUAUGAAUCUUGGAGAUUUGAAUUUCAAAAUACUUUCCUUAUUUGGCUCUUCAUUUAUGGCAACUUAUGACUUGGCUUCUUGAAUAAGGAAAAGGCUACUUGGAGAUUUGAAAUUUGAAUUUCAAAUUGCCUUGGCUGAAUGUUCUUUCCAUAUUUAAAACUUUCCUUAUUUAGAACCACUUGACUCCAACUUGGCAGGUUGCUCUCUUUUGCUCCAAAUAAGGCAGUUUUAGGGGGAUUUUCUCAAAAAUGUCAUUUUAUACCAUUUUCUGCAAAAUAAUAUCAAAAGCACUAGAUUAAGCAGAAAUCAUGUAAAUAAUCAUUAAUAAUGUCAAUAUAAAAUGGACUAAAUUAUGCUCUAUCAAAUACCCCCAC